Molecule: ribosomal RNA, 593 nt
Filed under: uncultured bacterium
Lineage: Bacteria
Description: partial 16S ribosomal RNA
Rfam family: Bacterial small subunit ribosomal RNA
Source: RNAcentral
UGGGGAAUCUUCCGCAAUGGACGAAAGUCUGACGGAGCAACGCCGCGUGAGUGAAGAAGGUUUUCGGAUCGUAAAACUCUGUCUUUUGGGGCGAACGUGAGUAUGGUGAACAAUCAUAGUCAGUGACGGUACCAAAGGAGGAAGCCACGGCUAACUACGUGCCAGCAGCCGCGGUAAUACGUAGGUGGCAAGCGUUGUCCGGAAUUAUUGGGCGUAAAGAGCGCGUAGGCGGGAUAGUCAGUCUGUUGUAAAAGUGCGGGGCUCAACCCCGUGAUGGCAAUGGAAACAGCUAUUCUUGAGUGCAGGAGAGGAAAGUGGAAUUCCCAGUGUAGCGGUGAAAUGCGUAGAUAUUGGGAGGAACACCAGUGGCGAAGGCGACUUUCUGGACUGUGUCUGACGCUGAGGCGCGAAAGCCAGGGGAGCGAACGGGAUUAGAUACCCCCGGUAGUCCUGGCCGUAAACGAUGGGUACUAGGUGUGGGAGGUAUCGACCCCCUUCCGUGCCGGAGUUAACGCAAUAAGUACCCCCGCCUGGGGGAGUACGGUCGCAAGACUGAAACUCAAAGGAAUUGACGGGGUCAUAGCUGUUUCCUG